GGGCUAAUACCGGAUGGUUGUUUGAACCGCAUGGUUCAAACAUAAAAGGUGGCUUCGGCUACCACUUACAGAUGGACCCGCGGCGCAUUAGCUAGUUGGUGAGGUAACGGCUCACCAAGGCAACGAUGCGUAGCCGACCUGAGAGGGUGAUCGGCCACACUGGGACUGAGACACGGCCCAGACUCCUACGGGAGGCAGCAGUAGGGAAUCUUCCGCAAUGGACGAAAGUCUGACGGAGCAACGCCGCGUGAGUGAUGAAGGUUUUCGGAUCGUAAAGCUCUGUUGUUAGGGAAGAACAAGUACCGUUCGAAUAGGGCGGUACCUUGACGGUACCUAACCAGAAAGCCACGGCUAACUACGUGCCAGCAGCCGCGGUAAUACGUAGGUGGCAAGCGUUGUCCGGAAUUAUUGGGCGUAAAGGGCUCGCAGGCGGUUUCUUAAGUCUGAUGUGAAAGCCCCCGGCUCAACCGGGGAGGGUCAUUGGAAACUGGGGAACUUGA
RNAcentral lists this ribosomal RNA (500 nucleotides) under Bacillus sp. 7(2013). RNAcentral describes it as "bacterial SSU rRNA". It matches the Rfam family "Bacterial small subunit ribosomal RNA", at positions 160 to 645 of the family's 1533-position model. The record is from RNAcentral. Lineage: Bacteria; Bacillati; Bacillota; Bacilli; Caryophanales; Bacillaceae.